This is a small nucleolar RNA of Capsicum annuum, 107 nucleotides long. NCBI's taxonomy places the organism in Eukaryota, Viridiplantae, Streptophyta, Magnoliopsida, Solanales, Solanaceae. The record is from RefSeq and is a predicted model, not a curated record.
UGUUGGUAAUGCAGACAAUCCUUAAGAAAAGACUUAAAACUCUCUCAUGCAUGAUAGAAAUUCUUAUCUAGCUUCUGUUUGAAACUCAAGAUCUCACUCCUCAACCU